UACCCUCUCGCAGGACCCGGUCAAGGUAGGCCCGAGCAGUGGGCGGCAAAGCAGCCUCCACCUCCUGUAGUACGUACCGGGGAGUACAAGGUCUGGAGAGCCCCAUACGCCGCGCAAGUGUCGGGGGAUCCAUCCAGUCUCCCCGGUCGUAGUCCAGGAGGUCUCCGACCCUGGUACUUUGUUGGGUGUAUCUAUUGGGUUUCCGGGAAUUAGGCAGGCGAAGCCCGCCCACCGUUAAAGAAUCCUCCCCCAGCCUAAGGGGAGGAACCACAGGGCCACAGAACCCACUGAGUUCGGGGGACAACUAAUAAAAGAACAGGGACAGGAGUGAGAUCAAAGGGUCAGAAGGAGGGAACCUGACGGGGACACCGAGCAGAGAACCCCGGACAGCGCCCACUGCUCCUCGAAGGUGUCAAGGGAGCCAGUGGACGCCGCCCAGAGGAACUCCGCCCAGAUGCGUGAUCGGACCAUGGAGCGGAAGCAAGCCCCACAGUCACCGGAGUCUACAUCGGCCAACCUCCCCUCCCUGGUCGCGUGGAUGGCCUUUUUUGCCAGGGCGAGGAGGAGGUUGACCAGGAGGUCCCGGGACUUCGUGGGGCCAUGGAUAGGAGUGCGUACAGAAGGAGCAAGGGGAAGAAAAAGAAGCUCUCCUUCAAGCUGGAGUCAGAAGGACAACAUAAGGAUGACUUCCUGAGUUCCGGCUCCAGUCCUUUGCUCUGCCCGCUGACCUAUCGAAGGGCUACCAUCACUUUCUCCAGGUUCGCCCAUCGGUGUGUUCAGAAUGGAGAGGGGUAACUAGUGGUGUUCCCCAAUGAAAGGCCUCCAGGAUGCCUGCCCAGCCCAGCAAAAGUGGCCAGGAGAAAGUCCACAAUGCUGCUCUUUCAAGUAAUUGAAGACUGCUAUCAAAUCCCCCCUCACUCAGUCAGUCCUCAGUCUGUGGCAGUGCAUAGGAUUCUUCUGCUCUAAGUGCAGGACUCUGCACUUCUCCUUGUUGAACCUCCUCAGAUUUCUUUUGGCCCAAUCCUCCAAUUUGUCUAGAUCACUCUAGACCCAAAUCCUGUCCUCCAGCGCUUGGAUUCUUUACAUGCUUUCACAGAGCGAAGUGCACACGUUCCAUGAUUUCAUAGGGCAGAUUUUUGUGCUAUCGAGAGCUUUCCCUGUGUGAAUUUGACAGGUGGAUCAACAUAGAGACACAUUGUGACCCUUCUCAGGGUACUGAGGACUGUGAGUCUCCUUGUUACCACCUGCCACAAGGAAGAGGGACUUUUGCAUUUGGCAGCUGGAUGUUAGUGACCAAACUCACCAGCAUGCUGGAACUCAAAGACCCUCCUCUGAGCUACAGCAGCCACUCUAACCCCUGACUUCCUUCAAUGUGUCCUCCUCUGGGGUCCAGCCCAGAUCACCAGAUACUCGGUGAAAUCCCAGAUCCUCUCUUCCCGAAGUAUCCCAAGAUACUAGUUUUACCGUGGACCAUUGCUACUGUAUCUCACACAGCACUUGAGUACAGUUAUUGAACAAGCAAAAAAUUUAUUUAACAACGGAUAGAGAUUUAAACAAACAAAUGUGAGUGAUGGAAACCAACUGUUACCAAUGAAGGGGAAACCACUCCCUUGCCAGAAGUGGCUUUACCAAUAGAUGGAACCUGGGAUUUAAACUCUAAAUGAUCACACUGUAUUUGGAAUCCGGUUGAAUUCCCCUUCCAGGUCUUUGACACUUUCAUCUCCAGUCAUAGCGACUCUGAUAUAGGAUUAAAAAGUCAAAACAUCAUCUCCAAGCACAGAUAAUGGAGAAUGCUUCAUCACAUGACACUUUGAGAAGUGGAUGGAUAGAAUGUGAUGAAGAUAAACUCUGCGUGGCUCAGGCAAAAGGUAACAGUUCUGCCGUGAUGGGGAAGGAGGGAAUCUUUGAGUCACCUCAUCUCCUUCCAGUGCCAUGUAAGCUGAAAUGACACUUUUUUCCUGCCCCAGCUCCUCUUCAUUUACAUCUAAUUUGAAAAAUUCCCAGUAUAACUGCUUUUCAGCACAACCCAGAGCAACAUGAGAACAACUGGCAAUGAUACAAUCUGUAUCACUGGUGACUCUAACAAUAACUUUGCAAUAAGAGGAAUGAUAUUAAUGUGAUGCUCCCUGGUUCCUCAUAGGAAGGGCACACUCAAAUUACUUGUGAGACAAUAGAAAGGACAAAUAGGUCCAUCUCAAAAGAGGGUGAACUGCAAAAGGCAAAAAUGGACCACUCAUCUGGACAAGCUGAGGGAUAACGGUGCUGCACACAGUUCAAAGAGCUUUAAAAGUUACUAUGUGGGAAUCAGGAAAAGUAUUAAAGAAGAGAAAGUUUUGACAGCCCUAAAGAUUUUUACAAUGUUGCUCUCCCUUGCAGAUUCUCUGAUGGCUAGCAUGGGAUGAGCGCCA
Molecule: long non-coding RNA, 2408 nt
Organism: Gopherus flavomarginatus (Mexican gopher tortoise)
Lineage: Eukaryota; Metazoa; Chordata; Testudines; Testudinidae
Exons: 3
Source: RefSeq, a predicted model, not a curated record